CAGAAAUAUGAUGAUUGUUAUCCAUAUAAAUCUGUAAUCUAAAUGAUGAUUUUAAAUUACAUGCACUACCAUCUGAUUUCUC
This is a small nucleolar RNA of Mercurialis annua (annual mercury), 82 nucleotides long. The record is from RefSeq and is a predicted model, not a curated record. NCBI's taxonomy places the organism in Eukaryota, Viridiplantae, Streptophyta, Magnoliopsida, Malpighiales, Euphorbiaceae.